UACAGAGGUCCCAAGCGUUGUUCGGAUUCAUUGGGCGUAAAGGGUGCGUAGGCGGCGCGGUAAGUCGGGUGUGAAAUCUCGGAGCUUAACUCCGAAACUGCAUUCGAUACUGCCGUGCUUGAGGACUGGAGAGGAGACUGGAAUUUACGGUGUAGCGGUGAAAUGCGUAGAUAUUCGCAAGAACACCAGUGGCGAAGGCGGCUUACUGGUCCGGUUCUGACGCUGAGGCGCGAAAGCCAGGGGAGCGAACGGG
RNAcentral lists this ribosomal RNA (253 nucleotides) under uncultured bacterium. RNAcentral describes it as "partial 16S ribosomal RNA". It matches the Rfam family "Bacterial small subunit ribosomal RNA", at positions 524 to 776 of the family's 1533-position model. The record is from RNAcentral.